Molecule: ribosomal RNA, 253 nt
Filed under: uncultured bacterium
Lineage: Bacteria
Description: partial 16S ribosomal RNA
Rfam family: Bacterial small subunit ribosomal RNA
Source: RNAcentral
UACGUAGGGUGCGAGCGUUGUCCGGAAUUAUUGGGCGUAAAGAGCUCGUAGGCGGCUUGUCGCGUCGGAUGUGAAAGCCCGGGGCUUAACUCCGGGUCUGCAUUCGAUACGGGCAGACUAGAGUUCGGUAGGGGAGAUCGGAAUUCCUGGUGUAGCGGUGAAAUGCGCAGAUAUCAGGAGGAACACCGGUGGCGAAGGCGGGUCUCUGGGCCGAUACUGACGCUGAGGAGCGAAAGCGUGGGGAGCGAACAGG